This 497-nucleotide ribosomal RNA is filed under the name uncultured bacterium. Its description in RNAcentral is "partial 16S ribosomal RNA". It matches the Rfam family "Bacterial small subunit ribosomal RNA", at positions 28 to 507 of the family's 1533-position model. The record is from RNAcentral.
GACGAACGCUGGCGGCGUGCCUAAUACAUGCAAGUAGAACGCUGGAGAGAGGAGCUUGCUCUUCUUGGAUGAGUUGCGAACGGGUGAGUAACGCGUAGGUAACCUGCCUUGUAGCGGGGGAUAACUAUUGGAAACGAUAGCUAAUACCGCAUAACAAUGGAUGACACAUGUCAUUUAUUUGAAAGGGGCAAUUGCUCCACUACAAGAUGGACCUGCGUUGUAUUAGCUAGUAGGUGAGGUAAUGGCUCACCUAGGCGACGAUACAUAGCCGACCUGAGAGGGUGAUCGGCCACACUGGGACUGAGACACGGCCCAGACUCCUACGGGAGGCAGCAGUAGGGAAUCCUCGGCAAUGGGGGCAACCCUGACCGAGCAACGCCGCGUGAGUGAAGAAGGUUUUCGGAUCGUAAAGCUCUGUUGUAAGUCAAGAACGGGUGUGAGAGUGGAAAGUUCACACUGUGACGGUAGCUUACCAGAAAGGGACGGCUAACUACGUG